GAUGAAGAACGUAGCGAAAUGCGAUAAGUAGUGUGAAUUGCAGAAUUCAGUGGAUCAUCGAAUCUUUGAACGCACAUUGCGCCCCCUGGUAUUCCGGGGGGCAUGCCUGUCCGAGCGUCAUUACAACCCUCAAGCUCAGCUUGGUGUUGGGCCCCGCCGCCCCGGCGGGCCCUAAAGUCAGUGGCGGUGCCGUCCGGCUCCGAGCGUAGUAAUUCUUCUCGCUCUGGAGGUCCGGUCGUGUGCUCGCCAGCAACCCCCAAUUUUUUUCAGGUUGACCUCGGAUCAGGUAGGGAUACCCGCUGAACUUAAGCAUAUCAAUAAGCGGAGGA
This 329-nucleotide unclassified non-coding RNA is filed under the name soil metagenome. Its description in RNAcentral is "partial contains 5.8S ribosomal RNA, internal transcribed spacer 2, and large subunit ribosomal RNA". The stretch from base 1 to 120 matches the Rfam family "5.8S ribosomal RNA", at positions 35 to 154 of the family's 154-position model. The record is from RNAcentral.